Molecule: transfer RNA, 76 nt
Filed under: Bacilli bacterium
Lineage: Bacteria; Bacillati; Bacillota; Bacilli
Description: tRNA-Phe
Rfam family: tRNA
About the family: Transfer RNA (tRNA) molecules are approximately 80 nucleotides in length.
Source: RNAcentral
GGCUGGAUAGCUCAGUUGGUAGAGCAACGGAUUGAAAAUCCGUGUGUCGCUGGUUCGAUUCCGGCUCUAGCCACCA